RNAcentral lists this ribosomal RNA (1870 nucleotides) under Campylobacter coli. Its description in RNAcentral is "partial 23S ribosomal RNA". It matches the Rfam family "Bacterial large subunit ribosomal RNA", at positions 1 to 1735 of the family's 2925-position model. The record is from RNAcentral. Lineage: Bacteria; Pseudomonadati; Campylobacterota; Epsilonproteobacteria; Campylobacterales; Campylobacteraceae.
AAAAAAGGUAAGCUACUAAGAGCGAAUGGUGGAUGCCUUGACUGGUAAAGGCGAUGAAGGACGUACUAGACUGCGAUAAGCUACGGGGAGCUGUCAAGAAGCUUUGAUCCGUAGAUUUCCGAAUGGGGCAACCCAAUGUAUAGAGAUAUACAUUACCUAUAUAGGAGCGAACGAGGGGAAUUGAAACAUCUUAGUACCCUCAGGAAAAGAAAUCAAUAGAGAUUGCGUCAGUAGCGGCGAGCGAAAGCGCAAGAGGGCAAACCCAGUGCUUGCACUGGGGGUUGUAGGACUGCAAUGUGCAAGAGGUAAGUUUAGCAGAACAUUCUGGAAAGUAUAGCCAUAGAGGGUGAUAGUCCCGUAUGCGAAAAACAAACCUUAGCUAGCAGUAUCCUGAGUAGGGCGGGACACGAGGAAUCCUGUCUGAAUCUGGGUCGACCACGAUCCAACCCUAAAUACUAAUACCAGAUCGAUAGUGCACAAGUACCGUGAGGGAAAGGUGAAAAGAACUGAGGUGAUCAGAGUGAAAUAGAACCUGAAACCAUUUGCUUACAAUCAUUCAGAGCCCUAUGUAGCAAUACAGGGUGAUGGACUGCCUUUUGCAUAAUGAGCCUGCGAGUUGUGGUGUCUGGCAAGGUUAAGCAAACGCGAAGCCGUAGCGAAAGCGAGUCUGAAUAGGGCGCUUAGUCAGAUGCUGCAGACCCGAAACGAAGUGAUCUAUCCAUGAGCAAGUUGAAGCUAGUGUAAGAACUAGUGGAGGACUGAACCCAUAGGCGUUGAAAAGCCCCGGGAUGACUUGUGGAUAGGGGUGAAAGGCCAAUCAAACUUCGUGAUAGCUGGUUCUCUCCGAAAUAUAUUUAGGUAUAGCGUUGUGUCGUAAUAUAAGGGGGUAGAGCACUGAAUGGGCUAGGGCAUACACCAAUGUACCAAACCCUAUCAAACUCCGAAUACCUUAUAUGUAAUCACAGCAGUCAGGCGGCGAGUGAUAAAAUCCGUCGUCAAGAGGGAAACAACCCAGACUACCAGCUAAGGUCCCUAAAUCUUACUUAAGUGGAAAACGAUGUGAAGUUACUUAAACAACCAGGAGGUUGGCUUAGAAGCAGCCAUCCUUUAAAGAAAGCGUAAUAGCUCACUGGUCUAGUGAUUUUGCGCGGAAAAUAUAACGGGGCUAAAGUAAGUACCGAAGCUGUAGACUUGCACACAACUUAGAUUAUUUAAGUUUAGAAUAUGAGAAACUAAGUUAUAUGUUUAGUUAUAUUUUUACUGAUUUUUAUAGAGUAAAGAUAGAAAUAAAACUUAGUAAAAUCAGUAAAAAUAUUCUUAGACUAAAGUUAAGUAGUUUAAGUUGUGUGCAAGUGGUAGGAGAGCGUUCUAUUUGCGUCGAAGGUAUACCGGUAAGGAGUGCUGGAGCGAAUAGAAGUGAGCAUGCAGGCAUGAGUAGCGAUAAUUAAUGUGAGAAUCAUUAACGCCGUAAACCCAAGGUUUCCUACGCGAUGCUCGUCAUCGUAGGGUUAGUCGGGUCCUAAGUCGAGUCCGAAAGGGGUAGACGAUGGCAAAUUGGUUAAUAUUCCAAUACCAACAUUAGUGUGCGAUGGAAGGACGCUUAGGGCUAAGGGGGCUAGCGGAUGGAAGUGCUAGUCUAAGGUCGUAGGAGGUUAUACAGGCAAAUCCGUAUAACAAUACUCCGAGAACUGAAAGGCUUUUUGAAGUCUUCGGAUGGAUAGAAGAACCCCUGAUGCCGUCGAGCCAAGAAAAGUUUCUAAGUUUAGCUAAUGUUGCCCGUACCGUAAACCGACACAGGUGGGUGGGAUGAGUAUUCUAAGGCGCGUGGAAGAACUCUCUUUAAGGAACUCUGCAAAAUAGCACCGUAUCU